This 498-nucleotide ribosomal RNA is filed under the name uncultured bacterium. Its description in RNAcentral is "bacterial SSU rRNA". It matches the Rfam family "Bacterial small subunit ribosomal RNA", at positions 28 to 521 of the family's 1533-position model. The record is from RNAcentral.
GACGAACGCUGGCGGCGUGCUUAACACAUGCAAGUCGUGCGGAAAGGCCCCUUUUUGGGGUGCUCGAGCGGCGAACGGGUGAGUAACACGUGAGUGACCUGCCCUGCGCUUGGGGAUAACCCUCGGAAACGGGGGCUAAUACCCGAUAUUCAUACGGGUUUGCAUGGGCUCGUGUGGAAAGGUUUUUCUGGCGUGGGAUGGGCUCGCGGCCUAUCAGCUUGUUGGUGGGGUGAUGGCCUACCAAGCCGAAGACGGGUAGCUGGUCUGAGAGGAUGAUCAGCCACACUGGAACUGAGACACGGUCCAGACUCCUACGGGAGGCAGCAGUGGGGAAUCUUGCGCAAUGGGCGAAAGCCUGACGCAGCGACGCCGCGUGAGUGAUGAAGGCCCUCGGGUUGUAAAGCUCUGUGGAGGGGACGAAGUAAGGGUUGGCCAAUAUCCAGCUCGAUGACGGUACCCUUUAGCAAGCACGGCUAACUACGUGCCAGCCGCCGCCGC